AAAUGGAGAUGAUUUAGAUUUGGGAGCAGAAGACCCCCUACCCAAUGAUCGCCCAGUAAUUGAACCUAUUGGGACAGGGUUUGAAUCAUCCCUUAUUGCUACACAUGCUAUCACACAGACCAUUAAGCAACAUUUUCUUCAUCCACGACCUACAUGGGGAGCGAUGGAAGAUAGUGAUAAGGAUGCCUUCUUCCAAUGUUUUAAGCGUAAGGUGGCAUGGAGACCCGAGGAUGAGGAAAAAAUAAAGAAAAUUUUUCACUCAAAAGCCUCUCAUAGAUUAUUUGAUAUGUUUAAUGAAGCUCGGAAAGCAGGUAAAAAGCCACUUUGGGUUAGAGAAGAUGUGUGGAACCAAUUGGUAGCACAUUGGAAUUCAGCUGCUUUUCGAGUAAAGUCUACACAAGCCUCACUAAAUCGAGCGUCUGAAAAGGGUGGGACUUUUCAUACAGGUGGCUCAAUUACAGUUCAUGAUCAUACCAAGCGCAUGAUAUGCAAAAGAAUUUGGUCGCUCAGUGCAUAUUGAUGAGGUCUUUCAACAGACCCAUAUACGAAAAGAUACUGGACAGUUUGUUGAUGAAAGAUCUAACAAAACAUAUGAAGAUUUUCUCAAUAAAUUUUCUCAAGCUAUGUCUGAGGAUGCAUCAUCUGUUGAUGAAUCACAUCUUAUGGAUCCUGGUUUGGAGGAUACAAUUAGGUCUAAGUGUUGGUCUGAUGCAGUUGGUGGCAUGACCACUAAGGGGCGACUGUAUGGAGCUAGAGACCUUGCUCGUCAUUUAAAAGAUACACAGAGCAGUCACGUCGACGUCAAUCUUAAAAGGAAAGCAUCUUGUAGCAGUUCACAUGACACAGAAGACAUUGUUCAAUUGAAACAAUGACUUGCAGAAAAUGAACAACAACUUGCAGAAAAUGAUGUGGUUAUUCGUCAGUUGCAACAGUUUCAAUCAAUUGUCUUGCAAUUCUUACCCACAGAAACACAAACUGUCAUUCAAAAUAUUUUUCAACAACAAAAUAUCAACCUAGAUCAACAAAAUGGGGAACAACAUCAAAACCAACAACAAGAAGAUGACCAAAACAAAAAUCAACAAGACUCUCCUAAUUAUGAAGAUUAUUAGUUAGCAUUAGAAAAAUAUUAAUUACUCUAUUUGA
Cajanus cajan (pigeon pea) is the source of this 1143-nucleotide non-coding RNA. NCBI's taxonomy places the organism in Eukaryota, Viridiplantae, Streptophyta, Magnoliopsida, Fabales, Fabaceae. The record is from RefSeq and is a predicted model, not a curated record.